RNAcentral lists this ribosomal RNA (143 nucleotides) under uncultured eukaryote. RNAcentral describes it as "partial 18S ribosomal RNA". It matches the Rfam family "Eukaryotic small subunit ribosomal RNA", at positions 1299 to 1458 of the family's 1831-position model. The record is from RNAcentral.
UGGUGGAGCGAUUUGUCUGGUCAAUUCCGAUAACGAACGAGACUCUAGCCUACUAAAUAGUUCGGGGACCCCCACAAAGGGGCCCCGCUUCAACUUCUUAGAGGGACAGGUGGCGCUUAGCCACACGAGAUUGAGCAAUAACA